RNAcentral lists this unclassified non-coding RNA (241 nucleotides) under Hevea brasiliensis (rubber tree). The record is from RNAcentral. Lineage: Eukaryota; Viridiplantae; Streptophyta; Magnoliopsida; Malpighiales; Euphorbiaceae.
GAAUUGGUGGUUUGGCUUCACCAUCUUGUCAGCCAAGUAAGGGCUAGCAAUGGUGGAAUAAGAUCUCCAGUUAAAUCUCCAAUUUGCUCGCCCAAUCAGAAGACAAUUCAGUUAUCUACCAACAAGCCAAGCUCUCCAUCCCCAAUGCUGUCGGUUGAAGAUCAAGAAAUGCUUCGAGAUGUAAGCAAGAGGAAAAAGACACCCGGCAUAAGCAAGAGUCAGGAAUUUGAUACUGCAAAAA